GUUUAUACUUGCAUACUAUUGUUUGUACAGAUGAACGUGGUACCUUCAGGAGUUUGGAAAUUGCUCCCAAUGAUGAACCAGACCUGUGGAGGUCUACCAUUUUUUUCUGAGGCUGAUUUCUUUUGAUUUUCCCAUGAUGUCAAGCAAAGAGGUACUGAGUUUGAAGGUAGGCCUUGAAAUACAUCCACAGGUACACCUCCAAUUGACUCAAAUGGUGUCAAUUAGACUAUCAGAAGCUUCUACAGCCAUAAAAUAAUUUUCUGGAAUUUUCCAAGCUGUUUAAAGUCACAGUCAACUUAUUGUAUGUAAAAUUCUGACCAACUGGAAUUGUGAUACAGUGAAUUAUAAGUGCAAUAAUCUGCUCAAAGUAGAUUGCCAAACUUUUAGUUUGUUAACAAGAAAUUUGUGGAGUGGUUGAAAAACAAGUUUUAAUGACUCCAACCUAAGUGUAUGUAAACUUCCGACUUCAAUUGUUGUGUGUGUGUGUAUAUAUAUAAAUAUAAUAUUAUUCUUAUUAUAUAUAUUUUUGGGCUAAAAAUGUGGGGCCAAAACAGGUGGGGCUCAGCCCCACCUGCCCUGAAUGACGGGUCGCCACUGUGUAUGUUAACAUGGAAGAACUGAGUCAUUUUCAGCUUCCAGGAGUUGUGUACAGAUCCUUGCGACAUGGGGCCUUGCAUUAUCAUGCUGAAGAAUCAGGUGAUGCUGGUGGAUGAAUGGCAUGAUAAUGGGACUCAGGAUGGGUCACAAGCGCUCAGGACCUCAGACUGGGGUGAAGGUUCACCAUCCUACAGGACAUCGACCCUAAGCACACAGCCAAGACGAUGCAGGAGUGGCUCCGGAACAAGUCUUUGAAAGUCCUUGAGUGGCCCAGCCAGAGCCAGGACUUGAACCCGAUCAAACAUCUCUGGAGAGACCUGAAAAGAGUGUGCAUAGCUGUCAUCAAGGCAAAAGGCGAGACCCAGAUGCAGACACAGGAGGCAGAGUUUAAGAUGUUUAAUAAACCAAAAAGGAGUUGGCAAAAGAAUGGUCGUGGACAGGCAAAAGGUCAAAACCAGUUCAGAUUCCAGGAGAUACAGAGUGGUAGUCAGGCUCGAGGUCAAGGCAGGCAGGUACAGAGUCCAGAACAAGCAACGGCUGUCACAACUUCUGCCGAAGUCGAUGCCCCUCCUUAUUCGAGUGGUGGUCGACGUCACCGGUCUUCUAGCCAUCACUGAUCCAUUUUUCAUUUUCCAUUGGUUUUGUCUUGUUUCCUUACACUUCUGGUUCCAAUCCUAUUCAUUACCUGUUGUGUAUUUCACCCUCUGUUUCCCCUCAUGUCCUUGUCUGAGAUUGUGUGUAUGUUAC
RNAcentral lists this long non-coding RNA (1344 nucleotides) under Salmo salar (Atlantic salmon). RNAcentral's name for it is "lncRNA (ENSSSAG00000111140.1)". The record is from RNAcentral. Lineage: Eukaryota; Metazoa; Chordata; Actinopteri; Salmoniformes; Salmonidae.